Molecule: long non-coding RNA, 204 nt
Filed under: Bos taurus (domestic cattle)
Lineage: Eukaryota; Metazoa; Chordata; Mammalia; Artiodactyla; Bovidae
Description: long non-coding RNA NONBTAT015295
Source: RNAcentral
UGAAAUUUUAAACUUUCCAAAGAUCCAGAAAUGGGCCUUCCUGUUCUUUGUUAACUCAAACCUUCGCUGUGAAGGCGGUUGUAAGUUUUCUCAGGCUCACCGGUUGUUUGCUCUGUAGUGAGGGUAAGUUAGUGCUAAAGCAGUUUCAAACUCUGACUCCUGAAUAAUGAGAAGUUUAAAACCUACGAUUUUUAGUGCAGUCUU